GACGAACGCUGGCGGCGUGCUUAACACAUGCAAGUCGAGCGGUAAGGCCCUUUCGGGGGUACACGAGCGGCGAACGGGUGAGUAACACGUGGGUGACCUGCCCUCAGCUCUGGGAUAAGCCUGGGAAACCGGGUCUAAUACUGGAUAUGACUCCAUGACGCAUGUUGUGGGGUGGAAAGCCUUGUGCGGCUGAGGAUGGGCCCGCGGCCUAUCAGCUUGUUGGUGGGGUGAGGCCUACCAAGGCGACGACGGGUAGCCGGCCUGAGAGGGCGACCGGCCACACUGGGACUGAGACACGGCCCAGACUCCUACGGGAGCAGCAGUGGGGAAUCUUGCGCAAUGGGCGAAAGCCUGACGCAGCGACGCCGCGUGAGGGAUGA
This 380-nucleotide ribosomal RNA is filed under the name uncultured bacterium. RNAcentral's name for it is "bacterial SSU rRNA". It matches the Rfam family "Bacterial small subunit ribosomal RNA", at positions 28 to 411 of the family's 1533-position model. The record is from RNAcentral.